UGGAGCGAGCAUAGCACGCUAGCCCGCGCGUCCGCCAUUUUGAAAACGAAAAUAGACACUGAAUUCCCGCGUUAAAAAUUGAAAAGUAAAAACUUAAAAACAGAAUCGCGCGUUCGAAUAUUCAAAAGUGAUUUUUCUUAAAUAGUUUUUUAAUAACAGUUACUUUUGUUUUUGACUGUGUUUCUGUGAUUGUGGACCAUGAUUUUGAAUGGGUACAAAACGAUACAAGUCUUCUAAAAAAAGAAUUUUAAAACAAAAUCAGUUUAAAACUUCACUUAACGCAACACAGUGUCUUUAGAAGAUAGGCAGAAUAAAAAAAAAAACAUUUAUGCAAUUCCUUUAUGGAUAGUGAAAGGGAAAGAUAUUUAAACAUAAAUGGCUAGAGAGAGAUAGCGAUUAGUUACCUUGUUCUAGUUAGAAAGGGACAGUGAUAUAGCGAGUCUGGCUGAGGGAAAGAGAGACAAGAUGUCGUUGGUGGCACCUAGGAGAGUGCAACUUGACUGGACCCAUACUAUACCCUGGGAACAAGAGCCAGGGUGUGAACGCGACUCCUCGUUCAAGAGAGCCCCGCAUCAGUCCAACCGAUCAGAAUCGUCAUCAUCAUCAGCGGACACCGCGUCCCAGGGGUCUGGCUCGCCUGCGCCACAGCCACGACCCGGAAAUGAACCACAGAGGGAAGAGCGGCGGGAGCAAGCCGCUUGUGCUCCGAGGUUACAACCUAACCCGUUACUGAGGUCUCGUACCCUCCCCAACUUCGGCGGCAACCGUUCCCGCGAGGCGUCCCGCUGCGACACCAGCCGGCGAGCUCACCACAUCACCAUGGCAACCGAGGAUCUGCUGCAGCCCGGCCACGUGGUCAAGGAGAGGUGGAAGGUGGUCAAGAAGAUAGGCGGCGGCGGCUUUGGGGAGAUUUACGAAGGUCUAGACCUGGUGACCCAAGAGCAGGUGGCCUUGAAGGUGGAGUCCGCCAGGCAGCCCAAGCAGGUGCUCAAGAUGGAGGUGGCUGUCUUGAAGAAGCUGCAAGGCAAGGAGCACGUAUGCCGCUUCAUAGGCUGCGGUCGCAACGCCAGGUUCAACUACGUCGUGAUGCAGCUGCAAGGGAGAAACCUGGCGGAGCUGAGGCGCGCUCAGCCGAGAGGUGCCUUCUCCCUGUCCACCACGCUUAGGCUGGGCUUGCAAAUACUCAAAGCUAUAGACUCUAUACACUCCGUCGGCUUCCUACAUAGAGAUAUUAAACCUAGUAACUUCAGCAUAGGCCGGCAUCCGUCCAACUGCCGCAAGGUGUACAUGUUGGACUUUGGGCUGGCGCGCCAGUACACCACCAGCAACGGGCAGGUGCGCCCGCCGCGGGCCGCCGCCGGCUUCAGAGGCACCGUCCGCUACGCGUCGAUUAACGCGCAUAAGAACAAGGAGAUGGGCAGACACGACGACCUGUGGUCGCUGUUCUACAUGUUGGUGGAGUUCGUCAACGGCCAGCUGCCCUGGAGGAAGAUCAAGGAUAAAGAACAGGUCGGCCUAAUGAAGGAGAAGUACGACCACCGGCUGCUGCUGAAGCACUUGCCGUCGGAGCUGCGGCAGUUCCUGGAGCACGUGCAGCAGUUGGAGUACGCGGACACGCCUGACUACGCCAUGCUGGCCGCGCUCCUCGAGCGCUGCUGUAAGCGGCGCGGCAUCCGCGACCAGGACCCGCUCGACUGGGAGAAGGAUGCGGUGGCGGCCCCCCGCGCCCGCGCCGCCGUGCACGCGGCGCCCGAGCUGGCGCCGCCCACAGACACACAACCCGAUAAUACUCGCCGGCGUCUAGAAACAGAAGUGACCACAGCAGUCGCGACGGACACACAGACAAACCUGCAGAAGGACAAAGUUGACAAAAAACCUGCUUCACCCAGACACGCCACACAUCUCAACGGAUAUUCCACCACGGACAAGCCGACGACAGACAAAGAGGCAGAGCCGCGCACCACACCAGCUCCCUCGCCCGACAGACAUGCUAAGGAGACAAGUACGUCUGUGGUGACCGGAACGACGGCCACACGUCCGGAGCGACAGAGUGUCCCACCAUGCAAGCCGCGAGCACCGGCGCCAGGCGGCGGCCCCACGCUGGCGCGGCUGCGCGUGGUGACGGCGCCGCCCACGUGCGUGCAGGACCUGGCCGCGCACGCCGCGCCCGCGCCCGCAGGUGAAGCCGUGAGCCCGAGAAUAGUGGCCGAUGUGGACAGCGUGCAUUCUGAUACGCAUUUCAAACGUGGCGGCCGCCGCGGGCCGCGGGCGCCGCGCGCCGACCAGAGCUACACGCAGUUCGCCGUCAUGGACGAUGAGAACGUGUCCGCCCUGCAACAGGUGACGAAGGGCGGCGCUCUCACCCUGGUCUCGUUGUGGAAGUCCCAGUUCGACGACUCCGAGGAGACCACUGACAACGAAUGGAAACAGGAACAACUGCAGUCCCCCGAGCACCGCUGCCCCCGCGCCGUGUCGGCGGUGUCAUCGUCGUCGGCGGCGCCGCGCAGCCUUCUUGCCCACACGCACUCCACCACGCACCAGACGCAGAAACCAGCUGAUAAGCAGCCGCCGCCUCCCCAGCCAACAGAGCCGAAGCCGCCGCCCCCGAGCACCCAGCCGGCGGCCCCGCGGGCGCGGCCCGCCGAGCAACGCAAGCGCUCGUGCCUGCACAUCCCGGGGAUCGACGCUUACCCCAAGCUGCAGCCCAGCCUGCCUCGCUGCUGGACCCUGCCCGCCAUAGGGUCCCACAUCCGGUCGCUGCGGCCGCCGCUGCUGCAGCAGGCGUCGUUCGACGGCGCGGACGGGUCGGCGCUGCGCUACCUCGUGGACGUCAUGCGCGGCGUGGCGGCGAGGGACGCCGGCCCCGGCAGCGGCCCCGCCCGCGGGGCCCGCGCCUGCAGCGUGCCGAGUCUAUCCUGUUCAUCAACGAGCACCCCUCCCCGCGCGCCCGCCAAGCCGGAGCCGGAAGGGGCCACCGUGUCCAGCCGCCUGGAGAUCCGUGUCCGACCCCCGGACUCCGCUAGUCCGGGGACUGCGGGGAUAGACCUUGUCAAGAUCCAUUCGGUGGUGAGCGGUGGUGAGCCUGCCAGGAACCACGAUGAAGCUUCGAUAUACUAUGACGCAACUGAGCACCAGAGGGACAAACGGUCCUCUACACGUAGUAAUGAGAAAAGCCAGAGUCCGGCCGUGGAGCGCACGCGCCUCGAGUCUAUACCCGACAGGAGCAGUCCUGUGGUGAAGCGAGACCCGACAGGCGCCGGCGACGGGUCGCAGAGUCUCAGAGAUCGGUCGUCUGGUAGCGGCGCGACGUCCCGCAUCCCGGUGGCGACAUCUGGCGAGCAUCGCCUCGCCAAGUGCGCCUCCUGGAGUGGGGAUGGGCCUUUAUCCCCGGACGUGGCCGAUCUUACCCCGGCCCUCCGUCGGCGGCGGCAGAACGCAAACGAGAAGUACGCAGUAGACCCCGCUCGGGAAUUGAACCUGCGUUUCGCUAGACCACGGCACCGCACCCCGCAGCAACACCACUCUAGGAGCGGGUCCCGCGGCGUGCCGGCGCUGCUGAUGUCGUCCCCGCCGGCGUCGGGCGCGUCGGGGGGCUCCUCGUCGUCGGGCUCCCCUCCCCCCGCGCCGCCCCACGCCCCGCACCACCACAACGCCGCGAGGGCCCGCCGGUUCCGGCCGCUCUCCAUAGCGCCAUAGGAAGAAGCGGUAUUCUACGACGGUUCGGCAAAGUUCUGAUGUUAAAGUAAACAUGCAUAAUACUAUAUAGUCGAGUCGUUUCUACUCGAAAAUUGUUAACGUUAUAAUCUACAUAAGACAUGCUUUCCUUACGGAGUGGGCAGAGAAGGAGCACGCUAGUUAAUGGAGAGAAACAUAUAUUUAUAGUCACGUCUCUUUCCCUAGUAGUUCACCAUUCCCCUCGGCGGUUACCGCUAUCGACCCACUAGGCUUCCGAAUACAUCCCGCUCAGGGGCGGUACUGAAAAGUAUCUGCGUCCAAAGGACGUAAUAUACGAUCCUGAAACCCGAUUACUCUAGCCAUAGAGGCGGCCAAUCAGCUCGCGACACCAAACACUUCAGAACCCCGAUACCGACCGCGCCGGCGUGGUCGACGAUUUCCCUCAUUGAGCGCUUAUCGCUAUCGGCCCACUAGUCGAUUAAUUCUUUCAAAUGUAACCCUCUCAGACGACGCCCUAAGCCGAGGUUCUCGCCCAACUGGGCACCCUCAGGCCUGUUGUCUUAAAUUUUAUGCCGGGUGAGAGCUCUCAGCGCUCACCAUUUGUCCGGUCAAGUAGUUAAUGUCAUUUGCGGCAAAUCUACAGUAAAUCACGUUAAAAAGAAUGAUAUAUCAACUCUUACAAGUCCAUUUUCUAUCAGAAACAGUCUUAAGACGUCCCACUGCUGGGCACAGGCCUCCCCUCAAUCAACCGGAGGGGGUAUGGAGCAUACUCCACCGCGCUGCUUCAUAAUAAAAAAUAUUUUUAAGUAAUAUCUAUCACUGUGCUACAUUUUCCAUUUUCUUCACGCUAUUUGCUCUUCCAGGGUAGUCAAUAAUACCCUAGCUGUAUGAUUGAAGAUAUUUUUUUCUUUUCGGUGCUAUCUAUAACAUAUCUUAUGUAGAUUAUAAUAAAAAUAAAAUUUGCUAUAACGAACUGGGAAAAAAAAGAAUUUAUUUCUCAUGUAAAAUACUAAUUAUUUAUUUAAUUUUUAAUAACUCAUUUAAUUUUAAUGUAAAUUUUAAUUAUAUUAAGUUUGACAAUUUUUUUUGGUUCUGUAUAGCAAAUUUAAAAAAAAGAUGUGAUUGAUACCUCGAGUAGCUAUGAACCUUAUUUUGUAUGUAAUAAGGGUGUUAAUAGCGCGUACGGUUAUAUCAAUGUUUUCCAAAGGUAUAUACGCCUAUUAGAUAUUAUUCUUCACGCUUAAACACUUGCAGGCUGGACAGAACAAGUAAUAAAUUCACCUUUUAAGGUUUUUGGUGCUUGGCGCGUAUUGAAAUGUAAUAAUAUUCAACAUACAUAUAAAAAAGUCACGCCCGUUGUCACUAAAGGGGUGGGCAGAGCCGCAAUUCAACUUGCAGCCAACUUUAGAUCAAAUGUACAGUCUUCUUAGUAAAAACCAAGGUAUAAGAAAACUAGGUAUGCUGAAUCCUAUGACAAGCCGCCAUUGCUAGCCCAUUGAUGACGUAUGUGUUACCAUUCAAUUGGUAUCUCCAACAUUCCAAGGACGUAAAUUUUAUUAUUGAAAGUUAAGUGAAUUACUGACUAAUGUAUUUAAUUACUAUUAUUUGUCACAUUUAUAAAAAUCAUUAAAACUGUACUUAAAUCUUUUACUAAAAGUACAAUAUAAAAACAUUGGACGUGGGUAAUUUAUUUUUUUUACGAAAUGGCAACGCAGGGUGGGAUGACGUCAGCUGGGCUAACCUUGAAAUGCUAGCUGUCAGUUUUGAGCUUACCUGCAGGCUUAGCACCGUAAGCACGCGACUCUUUCUCGCCGCGACAGAGAUCGUCUGUCUCUUUCUGUGCAGUACUGUGAGAGAGUGACGGGUGACGUAUGUCGAGGCGAGAAUCGCGCGCUUACAGUGCUAGGUCCGCUGGUCUUAAACCAUGGUUUAAACAAGAAAUGUAUGAUAAAUAUUUAUAUAUGUUGCGUUAUAUCCAGUAGAUGCCAUGAUUCUAGUCCCACAGCAUAAUAUUAUAGAAACUGUAUGUAAUAAUAUUAAAUAAUUGAUUAAAAAAUAGUUAUUAAGUAUUAUGAUAUUAAUUAUGAGAGAAUUUGAGGUUAUGCGUCCGCCAUUUUGAAUUUCUAUGGCGGCGUCAUGUGAAUUUGAAAUUGGCGCGAAUUUUAGGCGGAGGUGUUCGCAGUAAAACGGUUUAUGCACCUUUACGGGAUAACAUAAGAUUUGUUUCUGGUCAUAUAUUUUUGGGAAUUAAGAAAAUAAUGGUAGUUACUACAGUGAGUCUUUGACUUUAUUUUUACAGGAAUAUUACAUCAGUUAUUUAAUAUGUAAUAUAUAUUUUUAAAAGGUGCAUAACAGGUUUCUGUGUAAUGUUGCCUUGAGCUGAAUUUUGCUUGGGAUGUCGCCGUGUAUGGUUUUCGAAUUGACAGCUUUUUGUAAUUUUAAGUUUUUUUUUUCUAUCGAUAGCUGUGCACGGUGCUCCAGCAGCCGUAACAUGGAGCCCGCAUAUCGUUCACGAAGCGAUAAAUGCGCUAGUUUAAAUAAACCAAUUCUAGUGGUUAGUUUAUCGCGUCGCGCGCCAUAUGCGGGCAUCAUACUACGGCUCAAAACACAUUCUAGUCUAACAGCUUUCGUUUAGGAAUAUCGACAAAAAAAAUUGAGACAAUUAUUUUUGUCAUAAAAAAGUAAUAUAAUAUAAUUAUGUAUAAAGUUGUUAUUAUAAAAACAGGCCCAUUUUCAAAAUGUAUAAUUUUUCGAUAUGAAUGUCGAGGGCUGACGGUUGCAGCGCUGUUUUUUUUUUAAACGCACGCUGUGUUGUUUUAUUUUGCCAUAUUUUUUUAUAUUUACCGAAAUAUGCACAAUGAUUAUAAAUAAAAGGUACUUGUCCUUA
Molecule: RNA transcript, 6562 nt
Organism: Pectinophora gossypiella (pink bollworm)
Lineage: Eukaryota; Metazoa; Arthropoda; Insecta; Lepidoptera; Gelechiidae
Gene: Asator
Gene name: tau-tubulin kinase homolog Asator
Exons: 32
Source: RefSeq, a predicted model, not a curated record